GAGGGUAUAGCUCUGUGGUGGAGCAUGUGCUUAGCAUGCACAAGGUCCUGGGUUCAAUCCCCAGUACCUCCA
RNAcentral lists this transfer RNA (72 nucleotides) under Camelus bactrianus (Bactrian camel). It matches the Rfam family "tRNA". Rfam says of the family: Transfer RNA (tRNA) molecules are approximately 80 nucleotides in length. Their secondary structure includes four short double-helical elements and three loops (D, anti-codon, and T loops). Lineage: Eukaryota; Metazoa; Chordata; Mammalia; Artiodactyla; Camelidae. The record is from Rfam by way of RNAcentral. RNAcentral also lists the same sequence under 1 other name.